Molecule: long non-coding RNA, 953 nt
Organism: Zea mays
Lineage: Eukaryota; Viridiplantae; Streptophyta; Magnoliopsida; Poales; Poaceae
Exons: 4
Source: RefSeq, marked validated
CCAACUGAGUGCCCCUCUUGCCGUCCCACCAUUUUCGUGGCUCGCCGGUGUUCUAACCUUGAAGCUCGGCCGCCUGGAAUCGACUUGGCGCGCGGAGUGUGGAGGCCCCGGUUGCGCGCGCCUAGGGAGCCUCAGCGGCGGCCAAUUUCUCAAUCCCCCGCUGGUGCCACCAUCCCGCGCGAAGAACGACACCCACCCUGACACGAAGCCGAAGAGCCUGUGACUGAGGAUCCUGGUGACCAACAGAUAGAAGUAGCUGAGCAGAAGCUCAUUGAAGGAGAAGAACAGGUGGUUCAGGAGGAGCCUCAAAGCGAGAAGUAUGAUCUGAUCUAGGUGGCGUUUCCCCAGUUGACUUUUGCGCCAAGGAUGAUUCUUAGUUCGUUUUAUAAUUUAUUUUUCAUGGACAUCCUCGCUCCAAGGAGUAGAAAGUAAACAGGGAUGUACAUGUCGAAGGUAGGGAGGAAGACUCCAAGGUGAACUACUCAGACGGAAGCGUACUCGACGAUAAGGCACCGGACGCUCGCAAGACUCAACCCCCUCAUGGUCUGAUCAAACAUGACAAAAUGGAGGCACACAUGGUAACAUAUCAGAAAGCACCACACUUCCAAGGGUGGAAAUGGUGUACUCCAUCAAAUCUUUAUGUAAUUAGUGACCACUCGUUCAAUUCCUCCGACUAUAUAAAGGGAUGAGGGUUGAGCUAUAGGAGUAGGGAAACUUAGUUGAUAACAUUGUUGUAAACUAUGGUGACGUCUAAGAGGGGGUGAAUUCGGACUUCUAAAAAUUUCGCUCUAAAUUAGGCCACAAAUAAAUCCCUAGAACAAAACAUAUUCAAAUAUGUAAACUAGAUUGUGCAAACUAGGUGUUGACUAAAUGUUGCUAUCUCUAUUGCAAAAGGAGUUUCGCAACAAGUUACAAUCAUUAAUAUUCUAACUACAAAUGAGAGAUUGAAACUU